AGCGGCGGAUGAGUGAGUAACACGUGGGGAACCUGCCCCUAAGUCUGGGAUACCAUUUGGAAACAGGUGCUAAUACCGGAUAAUAAAGCAGAUCGCAUGAUCAGCUUUUGAAAGGCGGCGUAAGCUGUCGCUAAGGGAUGGCCCCGCGGUGCAUUAGCUAGUUGGUAAGGUAACGGCUUACCAAGGCGACGAUGCAUAGCCGAGUUGAGAGACUGAUCGGCCGCAUUGAGACUGAGACACGGCCCAAACUCCUACGGGAGGCAGCAGUAGGGAAUCUUCCACAAUGGACGCAAGUCUGAUGGAGCAACGCCGCGUGAGUGAAGAAGGUUUUCGGAUCGUAAAGCUCUGUUGUUGGUGAAGAAGGAUAGAGGUAGUAACUGGCCUUUAUUUGACGGUAAUCAACCAGAGAGUCACGGCUAACUACGUGCCAGCAGCCGCGGUAAUACGUAGGUGGCAAGCGUUGUCCGGAUUUAUUGGGCGUAAAGCGAGCGCAGGCGGAAAAAUAAGUCUAAUGUGAAAGCCCUCGGCUUAACCGAGGAACUGCAUCGGAAACUGUUUUUCUUGAGUGCAGAAGAGGAGAGUGGAACUCCAUGUGUAGCGGUGGAAUGCGUAGAUAUAUGGAAGAACACCAGUGGCGAAGGCGGCUCUCUGGUCUGCAACUGACGCUGAGGCUCGAAAGCAUGGGUAGCGAACAGGAUUAGAUACCCUGGUAGUUCAUGCCGUAAACGAUGAGUGCUAAGUGU
RNAcentral lists this ribosomal RNA (743 nucleotides) under uncultured bacterium. Its description in RNAcentral is "bacterial SSU rRNA". It matches the Rfam family "Bacterial small subunit ribosomal RNA", at positions 94 to 823 of the family's 1533-position model. The record is from RNAcentral.